RNAcentral lists this ribosomal RNA (468 nucleotides) under uncultured bacterium. Its description in RNAcentral is "partial 16S ribosomal RNA". It matches the Rfam family "Bacterial small subunit ribosomal RNA", at positions 28 to 507 of the family's 1533-position model. The record is from RNAcentral.
GAUGAACGCUGACAGAAUGCUUAACACAUGCAAGUCUACUUGAAUUUGGGUUUUUUAACUUAGAUUUGGGUGGCGGACGGGUGAGUAACGCGUAAAGAACUUGCCUCACAGUUAGGGACAACAUUUGGAAACGAAUGCUAAUACCUGAUAUUAUGAAUAUAUGGCAUCAUAUAAUUAUGAAAGCUAUAAGCGCUGUGAGAGAGCUUUGCGUCCCAUUAGCUAGUUGGAGAGGUAACGGCUCACCAAGGCGAUGAUGGGUAGCCGGCCUGAGAGGGUGAACGGCCACAAGGGGACUGAGACACGGCCCUUACUCCUACGGGAGGCAACAGUGGGGAAUAGUGGACAAUGGACCAAGAGUCUGAUCCAGCAAUUCUGUGUGCACGAUGACGUUUUUCGGAAUGUAAAGUGCUUUCAGUUGGGAAGAAAAAAAUGACGGUACCAACAGAAGAAGUGACGGCUAAAUACGUG